UACAGAGGGUGCGAGCGUUGUCCGGAAUCACUGGGCGUAAAGGGCGCGUAGGUGGCCUGGUAAGUAGGGGGUGAAAUCCUGUGGCUUAACUGCAGGACGGCCUCCUAGACUGUCAGGCUUGAGCAUGGUAGAGGCUGGUGGAAUUCCCGGUGUAGCGGUGGAAUGCGUAGAGAUCGGGAAGAACAUCGGUGGCGAAGGCGGCCAGCUGGGCCAUUGCUGACACUGAGGCGCGACAGCGUGGGGAGCAAACAGG
This 253-nucleotide ribosomal RNA is filed under the name uncultured bacterium. Its description in RNAcentral is "partial 16S ribosomal RNA". It matches the Rfam family "Bacterial small subunit ribosomal RNA", at positions 524 to 776 of the family's 1533-position model. The record is from RNAcentral.